RNAcentral lists this ribosomal RNA (468 nucleotides) under Penaeus japonicus. RNAcentral describes it as "partial 16S ribosomal RNA". It matches the Rfam family "Bacterial large subunit ribosomal RNA", at positions 1854 to 2571 of the family's 2925-position model. Lineage: Eukaryota; Metazoa; Arthropoda; Malacostraca; Decapoda; Penaeidae. The record is from RNAcentral.
UAGCCUGCCCACUGAUUUGUUUUAAAGGGCCGCGGUAUAUUGACCGUGCGAAGGUAGCAUAAUCAUUAGUCUUUUAAUUGGAGGCUUGUAUGAAUGGUUGGACAAAAAGUAAGCUGUCUCGAUUAUAAUAAUUGAACUUAACUUUUAAGUGAAAAGGCUUAAAUGUUUCAGGGGGACGAUAAGACCCUAUAAAGCUUGACAAUAACUUCGUUAUAUUAUAAAUUGUUAGUAUAACUUGAUUUUAACGGGGGUUUGUUUCGUUGGGGCGACGGGAAUAUAAUAAAUAACUGUUCUUUUAAAUAUAAUUACAAAAAUGUUUGGUAAAUAAUUGAUCCUCUAUUAGAGAUUAAAAGAUUAAGUUACUUUAGGGAUAACAGCGUAAUCUUCUUUGAGAGUCCACAUCGACAAGAAGGUUUGCGACCUCGAUGUUGAAUUAAGGUAUCCUUAUAAUGCAGCAGUUAUAAAGGA